Molecule: long non-coding RNA, 5543 nt
Organism: Ochlerotatus camptorhynchus
Lineage: Eukaryota; Metazoa; Arthropoda; Insecta; Diptera; Culicidae
Exons: 2
Source: RefSeq, a predicted model, not a curated record
GCUAGUAUAUGUCUUCCAUUCAUUUUUUUUUAGUCGUAAAACGAUCCAUUUGCCUACAUUCGGUUUCCUUCGGCUAAUCUAAAGGAGUGCGUUUGCUUAUUUCUUUUUUUUUUGUUUAGUAUUCACUAGUAUUUAAGGUAUCAGUUUUGAAUCGACUUCAUAAGUAAAUAUAAUAAGUAUUCUCAUUAAUAUUCUUUACCGUUUUUUUUUCUGUAAGUAUUAUUCUUUGCUUCGAUGGAGAAAAUCAGGUUUUUGAAUGUAUUGUUUGAAAAUUUAGUCUGCGCUUCUUCUUCUUCUUCUUCUUAUUCUUCUUUUUAUUCAUUCCGACGCACUUAUUGCUUUUGGGAUAAAAAUAAUUUCGUUUCUUCGCUUUUUAGUUCUUCAUUAUUGUUCUCACAGUUUUGCAUUAUUUAACUUUUUUUAUGCUAAACAAUUGAAAGAAAAAUAGCAUAUUUAAAACGUAAUGUAAAAAACGAGAUCAAUGCAUUUGUGGAAGGGGCCUUUCAAACGGAACCAAUUCUAAAAUUUUCCUACAAUUUUUCCAUGUAAAAUUUGGCAGUUGAUCAAUUGUUCCACAACAUAAAAUAAACACAAAUCCUAGCCGAGUAAUUCGCUACCCUAUGUCAUAAAUAAAUAAAUAGGAAAUUAAAUAAAUAAAUAACGUUGAUCAAGCAAAGAACUCACAAAGCCUACUCGCUUUUCAAUAGGAUACCAACAAAGUGUCGCAGAGCAUCGCAGCUAUCACUGUUUUUCCUUUUUGUGUUCGCUAAAUAUUUCUAUCAAUAUUUAAAAAAUUUCCUAACCUCACUUCCGUCACUACACCGGUCGUCCUCUCCUACUAGCUUCUACUUUGGCAAGAGAUGUUCCUCUCCUCAAUUGAAAAGACUUGCAUUCACUACUAAGAAGAAAAAAAAAACCGUAUUUUUUUGUUUCUGUCGAACAUCCAAAAUAUCAAACAACAACAAGAUUCGUUUCCGCAUCGAGUUGGAAUUCAGCUUCCAAAGUUUGAAAAAAAAAUGCUCAUCUAAAAAAUUUCUGUUUUUGUUUUUAAUCGCAAAUUUCGAUUUCAAUCAAGUUUCGUUUUUUUUUUUUUUGUUCUGAUAAUUAUUGUCCGCAUCCAAUGGAAGGAGGAAGGGUUGUUGUUCGGGAUCAACGUUUGAAACAAAUGGGACUGACUACGGGCUACUGGUUCGAACAGGCAAAGGUUUCGGCACCUACUGUAAAAAAAAGGAUUCCAAAAAAAUAGAGACGAUUUGGAAUGAUGGACAUUUCCUCUGAUAAAUAAAAAAACAGGAUUAUCUAUCUUUUAGCGCUGCUGGAAAUCUAGAAAGCUUGUCAAGACUGCGGCCAGUUUGACGUUUUCGAAAUUCUCGGUGCAGUACUGGAUUGGAUGGAUUGAAGGUAAAAUUUAUUGCGGGUUAUGCGUUGGAAACUGAGACUGGACUUUUGUCUUAGUCCAAGACUAAAUUUCGUUGGAAUUUAAAACCGAAUUCCAUUCGUAUCUGGGGGUGGAUUUUAUUGUACUACAUGACUGAAUUCUGUAGAUAUUCAAAGGUAAAUUCCGUUGAAAUUCACGACUGAAUUUCUUUGGAAGCCAAAGCUGUGGAUUCCGUUCGAAUGCAAGGUUGUAUUCCAUUUGGAUCUUAGACUGGAUCCCAUUCAAAUCCUUGGCUGGAUUCCAUUUAGAUUCUAGGCUGGAUUCCAUUCGGAUCCUAGGCUGGAUUCCAUUCGGAUCCUAAACUGGAUUCCAUUUGUAUCCUAGGUUGGAUUCCGUUCGGUUCCUAGGCUGGAUUCCAUUCAAAUCCUAGGAAAGAUUCCAUUUGGAUUUUAGGCUGGAUUACAUUAGGAGUCAAGGCCGGAUUCUAGUGGAAUACAAGGCUGGAAUCAAUAAGAAUCCACGGCUGGAUUUGAUUGAAAUUCAAGGCUGAAUUCCAAUGGAAUCAAAAACUAGACUUCAUUAUGAUUCAAGGCUGGAUUAUAUUGGAAUCCAAUGCUGGAUUUCGAAGGAUUCCUUAGCUAAAUUCCGUAGAAAUCCAUAACUUUUUCCCUUCAAUUCAAGAGAGAAUUUCGUUUGAAGCAAAGGCCAGAUUCUACUGCAAUCCAAGGCUGGAUUCCGAUAGAAUCCAAAGCUGGAUUACAGUGGAAACCAAGGCUGAGUUUCGAUGACAUUCGGUUAAGGAUUUCGUAGGAAUACAAAUCAUGAUUUCAUUGGAAUCCAAGACUGGAUUUACAUAAAUUCAAGAUUAGAUUACAUUGGAAUUGGUAACUAGAUUCUGAUGCAAUCCUAAACCGACUUCCGUUGCUAUCCUAUAUUGGAUUCAAUUGGUUUUCAAGGUUAGAUUCCAAUGGAAUUAUAAACUGUAUCCCGUCAAAAUUCAAAGCUGAAAUCCGUAAGACUGGAUUCCGUAAGAAUGUAAGGCAGAAUACCGUUUGAACUCAUUAGAAUCUUAGGCUGGAUUCCGCUGAAAACGAAGGCUAAAUUCCGUUGAAACCCAAGGCUGGAUUUCGAUGGAACCCUGUUAGGGAUUUCGAAGGAAACUAAAACUUAAUUCCAUAGGAAUUCAUGAUUCAAUUCCUUUGGAAUCCGUUGGAAAUCAAAGCUAGAUUCCGCUGGAAUUUAAGACAAAAUUUACAUCGAAAUCCAAUGCUGGAUUCCGGUUUUUAAUUACUAGACUUGAUUCUGUUGUAACCCUUGUUUAUGUUCAUAAGAAAACCAAUACUGCAUUCCAUUGGAUAGAUUAGUAAGGAGUCCAAAGUUGUGUUCCAUUGCAAUUCAAGGCUGGGAUCACUAAGGUUGGAAUGCAUUGGAAUCCAAGGCUGGAUUCCAGAAGAAUGCAAAGCUGGAUUCCAUUGAAAUUCAUUUAAAUCUAAGACUGGAUUCCUUUGAAAUCCAAGGCAGAAUUCCGUUGCAAUCAACAUCACGAAUUCAAUGGAAUUCCAUUGUAAUCAAAAAAAAAAGUUUUUUUUUUGAAUAAAAGACUGAAUUUUGUUGGAAUCCUUGACCCAAUUCCGUUGGAACCGUAUCCACUGAAAUCCAUUAAUUAAUUCCAUUGCUGGAUUUCAUUGGAAUCCAAUGCUGGAGUUAAUUGGAAUCCAAGGUUGGAUUCCAUUGAAAUCCAAUACUGGAGUCCAUUGGAAUCCAAGGCUUGAAUUCAUUUGAAUCCGAUAGUGGAUUUCAUUAGAAUAUAAGGCUGAAUUCCAUUGGAAUCGAGAACUGAAUCCCAUUAGUAUACAGAACUGAAUUCCAUUGGACUCCAGAACUGAAUUCCAAUGGAAUCUGAAUCUGCAUUCUUUUGGAAUUCAAAACUGUAUUCUAAUGGCUUUCUAGACUGAAUUCCAUCUACUCCAUGACUAGCUUCCAUUGGCAUUCAAAGCUAUAUUCCAUUAGAAUCCAAGGCUGGGUUUCAUUUAAAACCAAGACUGGAUUUCCAUAGGAUUCUUGUAAAGAUUUCAUAAGGGUAUACGGCAGAAUUAUUUUAAAAUAUCAGGCUGUGUUCCACUGAAAUCCAGAAAGAUAUCCAUUGGAAUCUAAAUCUGCAUUCUAUUGAAAUACAUAACUGUAUUCCGUUGGUAUCCUAGGCUAAAUUCCACUGGAAUCCAUGACUAGAUCCCAUUUGAAUCCACAACUAGAUACCUUUAGAAUCCAUGACUGGAUUCCAUCAGAAUUCAAGGCUGGAUUCCAUCAGAAUUCAAGGCUGGAUUCCAUCAGAAUUCAAGGUUGGAUUCAUUUGAAAUCCAAUGCUGGAGUCCAUUGGAAUCCAAGGCUGGAUUUCAUUUGGAUCUGAUAGUGGAUUUCAUUAGAAUAUAAGGCUGCAUUCCAUUGGAAUCCAGAACUGAAUCCCAUUGGAAUACAGAACUGAAUUCCAUUGGAUUCCAGAACGGUUUUUCCAUUGGGAACUAAAUCUGUAUUCUCUUCCGAUGGCUUUCUAGGCUGAAUUCCGUUGGAAGUUAAGGCUGAACUCCACUGAAACCCAUGCCUAGAUUCGAUUGAAAUCCAUGACAAGAUUCCAUUGGGAUUCAAAGUUAUUUUCCAUUUGAUUCCAAGGCUGAAUUUCAUUUGGAUUUCCAUUUUAUUCUAGUAGUGGAUUUCAUAGGAGUAUAAGGCAGAAUUAUUUUGGAAUAUCAGGCUGAAUUCCAUUGGAAUCCAUGACUAGAUUCCAUUUGAAUCCAAAACUGGAUUCCAUCAGAAUCCAAGGCUGGAUUCCAUCAGAUGCCAAGGCUGGAUUGCAUCAGAUUCCAAGGCUAGAUUCCAUUAAAAUCCACAGCUAGAUUCCAUCAGAAUUCAACGUUGGAUUCCACCAGAAUCCAAGGCUGGAUUCUAUCAGAAUCCAAUAUUGCAUUCAGAAUCUAAUGCUGGAUUCUAUCAGAAUCCAAUGCUGGAUUCCAUCAGAAUCCAAUGCUGGAUUUCAACAGAAUCCAAGGUUGGAUUUCAACAGAAUCUAAGGCUGGAUUCCAUCAGAAACCAAAAUAGGAUUCCAUCAUAAUCCAAGGCUGGAUCCCAUCAGAAUCCAUGGCUGGAUUCCACAAGAAUCCAAGGCUGGAUUCCAUCAGAAUUCAAGGCUAGAUUCCAUCAUGAUAAUCCAAGGCUGGAUUCCGUCAGAAAAUAAGGCUAGAUUCCAUAGGAAGGUUAGAUUCCAUCAGAAUCCAAGGCUGGAUUCCAUCUGAAUCCAAGGCUGGAUAUCAUCAGAAUCCAAGGCUGGAUUCCAUCAGAAUCCAAGGCUGGGUUUCAUCAGAAUCCAACGCUGAAUUCCAUCAUAAUCCUAGGUUGUAUUCCAUCAGAAUCCAAGACUGGACUACAUCAGAAUGCAAUGUUGGAUUUCAUCAGAAUCGAAGGCUUGAUUCCAUCAGAGUUCAAGGCUGGAUUCCAUCAGAAUCCAAGGCUGGAUUCCAUCAGAAUCCAAGGCUGGGUUUCAUGAGAAUACAAUGCUUGAUUCCAUCAGAAUCCAAGGCUAGAUUCCAUCAGAAUCCAAGCGGGAUUUCAUCAGAAUCCAACGCUGAAAUCCAUCAUAAUCCUAGGUUUCUAUUCCAUCAGAAUCCAAGACUGGACUAUAUCAGAAUCCAAUGUUGGAUUUCAUCAGAAUCGAAGGCUGGAUUCCAUCAGAAUUCAAGGCUGGAUUCCAUCAGAAUCCAAGGCUAGAUUCCAUCAGAAUCGAAGGCUGGAUUCGAUCAUAAUUCAAGGCUUGAUUCCAUCAGAAUCCAAAGAUGGAUUCCAUCAGAAUCCAAGGCUGGAUUAUAUCAGAAUCCAAGGCUGGGUUUCAUCAGAAUGCAAUGCUCGAUUCCAUCAGAAUCCAAGGAUGAAUUUAAUCAGAAUCCAAGGCUGGAUUCCAUCAGAACCAAAGCUGGAUGUCAUUGUAAUGCAAGGUUGGUUUCUGUUGGAAUCCAACUGGAUUUAAGCAUUUUAGGGAAAAAUAGUGAUGGAAUCCCAGACACAAUUCUAUAGCGAUUCAAGAAUUAAAGUAAUUGGCGCUGAAGUUUUGUGUUGAAAUUCAUGCUACCAAUCAAUCGAUCACCACAGUGGAUGGAGUUCUUCACGCUGAUCAAAC